AAAUGCAUAUGGAGUACUCAAGCUGAACAAGCCAAUUGGAUGGUAGAAUAUGCUAUCAGGCUUAAAGUUUAUAUUGAGGUUUGAAGAGAAAAUAUAGAAAAGUAAGGGCCGAAGGUAAAUAGAAAUAUAGAAUACUGAAAUGUGUUUAACUAAACAUCAAGCAUUCAUUUGUGCACUUCCUCAUCUAAAAUAAUCAUAUCAGUUCUAUUAUCCUUUAUCUCACAUUCUCACAAGUGCACUGUGCCAGUCAGUGGUCCUGCUAUCUGAACUUCAUUGCUCUUAUUUUGGUUCAUUUCUUUGCAACAUUUUAUUCCUAUUGUAGCCUUCAAUCAGUUUUAGCCUUUUGAAUCAUUCUGUAUGUUUAGCCUUUAAUCAGUUUGCAUUUCCCCCUUAUUUUGAUACAUUGCUCUACAACAGUUUAUUCUUAUUGUGUUACAGGUACUUCAAUUGUAAGUGCAUGCUUACGGAGUUCUAUCAUGCACAAUCAUGUGUGCACACCGGUCUAUCCAGAAGAUUAGCUCGCGACCCUCUCCGCCGGCUCCCUGGGGGUCGCAUCCGGCUUGCCGCAAGUACACCUACGCCGCCGCCUCCCCGGGGGCCGCAAGAUGAAGUGGACGACCGGGGAGAAGGCAUGUGGCGGGGGGCAGGCUCUCAAGUGGGAGACAGAGCUCGCCUCCCCCAACGACGACAACUUCGACCUCAAGUGGAAGUGGGAGGCCAAGUCCAAGCCUGGCGCCGUUGGCAAGGCCAAAACCAAGUGGGGCACCGAGGAAGCCAACAAGGAUGACAAGAAGAAGCCGGCGAGGAAGUGUGUCCAGAGCAAGGAGAUCCCCGUUGGCUGGACGUCCAGAUCGAGCUACUCAACCUAGCCCUGAAUAUAAUGCCUCGUGACUCCACCCCCGGCUACACCAUUUAUUAUCUAUCCUAUUGUGAUGUGUGUUUUAUUCCUCUCACAUGCAUUCCUUUUUGUGCUUUAUGUGAUUUUGUUUUUGUUCUAAUGCAUGCAAUAGACUUCAUUUGAUAGACGCAAUAAUAGGAACUGGCUUCUAUGGUGUACGAGACAAGCUCAAGCACUACAAGGACACAAUGGGCAUUGUCUCUAAUGAGUUGUGGAAAUAGGGCAUACCAUUAAGUAUUAGAACCAUCAGAAGGUAAUGAUGGGGCAAAACUUCUCUAGGAAAGGACUUGCCAUCCCCUUCCAAUACAACUCGGCGUCACCGGGUAAGACGCUGAUACAUUACAAGGCAGAUCUCAGCUGAACUCUCCCUCCCCGCCCUGGAGUCCAAGCGUUUGUGGCCUACAUCCGUGAGCUCCAUGUCUCCGUCCCUCCACCAAGCAGCGGCACACACACAAGGGGAUCAAGCCCAACCAAAUGGAUGAUGCUCCUUCCUGCCACACCCCUGUGUCCCGUUCAGGUUGCAUGUAUGAAUAUCCAAGUGGGAUGCUUGAUCUAUUUACUGAAACAAGACGUGUUUAUAUAUGUCAAAAUGUCUGUUGGAGAGGCACGAAAGCGCAAAGGUCGUGAUGUGUAAGGAUUUAAUCAAGGAGACAACCCGGUAGAGCUAUCAAGUGUUAGGGUAUAGCCUAACUAAGUAGGUUUAUUAUCUCCCAUUGCAUCUCUCUUGAUCAAGACAUGCCAUGACCUGGUUUAUUGUAUUUGUUAUGUUAUAAUGGAUUGUCUUGGCUUGCUUUUGGACUAAAGCCUUUUGUAGUUGUCUGGAUCAAUUGCUAUGUACUGGA
This is a long non-coding RNA of Aegilops tauschii subsp. strangulata, 1740 nucleotides long. RefSeq lists it as uncharacterized. NCBI's taxonomy places the organism in Eukaryota, Viridiplantae, Streptophyta, Magnoliopsida, Poales, Poaceae. The record is from RefSeq and is a predicted model, not a curated record.